GAUGAACGCUGGCGGCGUGCCUAAUACAUGCAAGUCGAGCGAACAGACGAGGAGCUUGCUCCUCUGACGUUAGCGGCGGACGGGUGAGUAACACGUGGAUAACCUACCUAUAAGACUGGGAUAACUUCGGGAAACCGAAGCUAAUACCGGAUAAUAUAUUGAACCGCAUGGUUCAAUAGUGAAAGACGGUUUUGCUGUCACUUAUAGAUGGAUCCGCGCCGCAUUAGCUAGUUGGUAGGUAACGGCUUACCAAGGCAACGAUGCGUAGCCGACCUGAGAGGGUGAUCGGCCACACUGGAACUGAGACACGGUCCAGACUCCUACGGGAGGCAGCAGUAGGGAAUCUUCCGCAAUGGGCGAAAGCCUGACGGAGCAACGCCGCGUGAGUGAUGAAGGUCUUCGGAUCGUAAAACUCUGUUAUUAGGGAAGAACAAAUGUGUAAGUAACUAUGCACGUCUUGACGGUACCUAAUCAGAAAGCCACGGCUAACUACGUG
RNAcentral lists this ribosomal RNA (496 nucleotides) under uncultured bacterium. Its description in RNAcentral is "partial 16S ribosomal RNA". It matches the Rfam family "Bacterial small subunit ribosomal RNA", at positions 28 to 507 of the family's 1533-position model. The record is from RNAcentral.